AUACUGGAGUAGGUUGCCAAUUCCUUCUCCAGGGCAGGGAUCGAACCUGACUCUACCUGUGUCUCCUGCGUUGCAGGUGGAUUCUUUACCACUGAGUCACCUGGGAAGCUUAUAGAAAGCUUAUUUCACAUCGAGUAGUAUAUCAUCCUUAUAUGUUUUAUUCCUCUUUUUAAUCAAAGUAGAAACAGUAAUACUGAUUUUAUUGGUUCUGAAAAUAGAACACAAUUAUAUAUACAUAUAUUUUUAAAAUAAAAUAUGCAGAAGCCAAGAAUUUAGGAAGUAAAGUAUCUACAGAGAGCACCAUUAAGGAGUUUGAAGUCUGUUCUUCCACGCUUUUUUCAAUGCAUAUUGGUGCUUGAAAGUACCUGAUAAACAGUGGCUUUCUUCCUUGUCCAGAGUAAUGAAUAAACUUAUAAAUAAGACGAAUAGAAGGCAAAAAUGUUACUCUGAUUCAUGUAAAGAUGAAUUAGAGGAUGUUGAUUAGUGUGGGUGCCAGAGUAGGGACUGCUAAAUGAACUCCGGAAUUAUUCAGGGUUUCCCUCCUAGUAUCAGGCAGGAGAGACAACCUGGAGGAGCAGAAAUGAGAUGGUAUUCCCAGUAGGCAGCACAAUUCCAAGCAGAAAAGGGGCACAGUUGAGUCAAGUAUUGUAUCUGAGUUGGACAUUACAGGGCCUUCUCUGGACAGAUCCACCAUGUCCUCCACCGGCCUCCUGUUUGUAAAAAAGUUUUCCUUUCCCAGGCCUCCCCUGAGUCACAAGAGGCUGGCUCAAGAGUUAAUGAUUGAAAGAAUGUGAACAGAUAGUAACAAUAAAAAAUAGCAGUGGGGUCAGGAGUACUGGUAACCAUUUAAACACUAAAUCAGCCAAAUAGCCGUCACAGAAUCUUUUUGUUGCCCCAGAAGGACACAGAAAACAGUUGGAUGCACAUUCCUGAGUUAUUGUGCAGCUACUGAAACCCUCACCAGAUGGGAGAGGUUAACUGCCUGAUGACCACUGGCCCCUAGGCUGGCUGGAACCAAAGAUUGAUAAUGGUAAACACCUGUGACAUGGUCCUGUAACUUCACCAUCACCCAAUCAGAGAACUGUGCACGAGCUGACCAUGCACCCUGCGGCACCCCUCCCUUAAUUGCCUUUAAAAACUCUUUCCAGACCCGUCUUUUGACUAUUAACUGCUCAGUGUCUUUGCUGAGCAUCGUUCUUUCCUUCACUACAACCUGGUGCCUGUAGGCUGGCAUUCCUGCUUACUGAUCAGCGGACCAAAGUUUGAUUCCUGUCAGUUUUAACUUCCCCACAUUGCCAAUCAAAUGAAUCACUGCAAUUCGACGAGGAAGCGUGCAUAUAGGAGUAUAUAGAGGUGCCUGACUUCAGCUUUGAUUGCAAUCCACUUUAAAGGGGCCUCCAUUUCAAAGAUGCCUGUCCUGAGUAAAUGCAGCAGCAGCCACUUGACUAGAUAAAGAGACAGACUGCCCCCUACCUCUCUCGAUUUUGAGAUCUUGGUCAAUUUUGAUAACUGACCAGUUUGGGCCUAGUUUUCCCCUCCACCUCUGUGCUUUCAAUUCCCUCCUUAUGUUUUAAAUUUACCAAUAAAGAGUAAGCUC
Molecule: long non-coding RNA, 1597 nt
Organism: Bubalus bubalis (water buffalo)
Lineage: Eukaryota; Metazoa; Chordata; Mammalia; Artiodactyla; Bovidae
Exons: 2
Source: RefSeq, a predicted model, not a curated record